UUCUCAUAGAUGUUUCUCUCUCCCCCCACCCGCCUUCUUCUCUGAAAGCAAUAAAAAUAUAUUUUAAAAAUUCAAAAAUAAAGUGAUUUUGUAUCCACAUGUCUCUGUCCUCCAGUGUUCACUUUUUCAAUUGUGCCACACCACUUAGAGAACUAAGCCAUACUCCUUGAAGUUACCCCAAUACUCUUUCCUUAUUUUGCCCACUAUUACAUCCAAAUUUAGUUCAACCUGUUUUUUAUAAUAUUUGUUGAAUAUUCUGUUUCCAAAGCCAUUCUCUGGGUUGAGGAUCUCAAUCUUUCUGCUAUAGACUAUAUAGCUAUUUUCUUACAUAGCCUCCUGAAUCUCUAUGCUGCAUUUUUGCUCCCCAAUGAAUUUCCCUCACCUGUAGCCAGUCCCAUAAAUCCAGCAUUACAAAUCUGAUCAUUAUUAGUCUUCUGUUUAAAAUCCCUCACUAAUUCCUCAUUUAAGUGCUUCUAGUUCUUUGUGGCUCCCGUGGCUUCUUCUCUAGGUGAACUGGGCUUAACUGUGUUUCUCUGUAUAUGCCUAUCUUUCCAGAUUCAGGGUGGUAGUUUGCCGAGACCUCAGUUCUCUGGUCAGUCUAAGAACAGUUAUUGGUUUUCAGUUUGUUUUCUCCUAUGUAUAAGGGAAUGAUACUUCCAUGCUUUUUAGACAUUAGAACUAAAAUGGAAGUCUGGUUAAGAAGAUGUUAAUCAUAAACAUCUUUGUAUUAAAUUAUUUGGAAAGUCAAA
Molecule: long non-coding RNA, 749 nt
Organism: Pipistrellus kuhlii (Kuhl's pipistrelle)
Lineage: Eukaryota; Metazoa; Chordata; Mammalia; Chiroptera; Vespertilionidae
Exons: 2
Source: RefSeq, a predicted model, not a curated record